AACGAACGCUGGCGGCAUGCCUAACACAUGCCAGUCGAACGAGACCUUCGGGUCUAGUGGCGCACGGGUGCGUAACGCGUGGGAACCUGCCCUUAGGUUCGGAAUAACUCCCCGAAAGGGGUGCUAAUACCGGAUAAUGUCUUCGGACCAAAGAUUUAUCGCCUUUGGAUGGGCCCGCGUUGGAUUAGCUAGUUGGUAGGGUAAAAGCCUACCAAGGCGACGAUCCAUAGCUGGUCUGAGAGGAUGAUCAGCCACACUGGGACUGAGACACGGCCCAGACUCCUACGGGAGGCAGCAGUGGGGAAUAUUGGACAAUGGGCGAAAGCCUGAUCCAGCAAUGCCGCGUGAGUGAUGAAGGCCUUAGGGUUGUAAAGCUCUUUUACCCGGGAUGAUAAUGACAGUACCGGGAGAAUAAGCUCCGGCUAACUCCGUGC
Molecule: ribosomal RNA, 434 nt
Filed under: uncultured bacterium
Lineage: Bacteria
Description: partial 16S ribosomal RNA
Rfam family: Bacterial small subunit ribosomal RNA
Source: RNAcentral